GCUUACGGCCAUACCACCCUGAGAACACCUGAUCUCGUCCGGUCUCAGAAGCUAAGCAGGGUCGGGCCUGGAUGGCACACUGCCUGGGAAUACCAGGUGCUGUAAGCU
RNAcentral lists this ribosomal RNA (108 nucleotides) under Takifugu rubripes (torafugu). Lineage: Eukaryota; Metazoa; Chordata; Actinopteri; Tetraodontiformes; Tetraodontidae. The record is from RNAcentral.